GGUCUCUCGCAGCAAUCAACUUAUCAAGUACUUUUGUUUAAAUAAUGAAAUUCUCAAUAAUAGGGAUCUG
RNAcentral lists this non-coding RNA (70 nucleotides) under Heterostelium album PN500. Lineage: Eukaryota; Evosea; Eumycetozoa; Acytosteliales; Acytosteliaceae. The record is from Rfam by way of RNAcentral.